RNAcentral lists this ribosomal RNA (429 nucleotides) under Gemmatimonadota bacterium. Its description in RNAcentral is "Gemmatimonadetes bacterium partial 16S ribosomal RNA". It matches the Rfam family "Bacterial small subunit ribosomal RNA", at positions 355 to 776 of the family's 1533-position model. The record is from RNAcentral. Lineage: Bacteria; Pseudomonadati; Gemmatimonadota.
UAGGGAAUCUUCGGCAAUGGACGAAAGUCUGACCGAGCAACGCCGCGUGAGUGAAGAAGGUUUUCGGAUCGUAAAACUCUGUUGUUAGAGAAGAACAAGGACGUUAGUAACUGAACGUCCCCUGACGGUAUCUAACCAGAAAGCCACGGCUAACUACGUGCCAGCAGCCGCGGUAAUACGUAGGUGGCAAGCGUUGUCCGGAUUUAUUGGGCGUAAAGCGAGCGCAGGCGGUUUCUUAAGUCUGAUGUGAAAGCCCCCGGCUCAACCGGGGAGGGUCAUUGGAGACUGGGAGCCUUGAGUGGAGAAGAGGAGAGUGGAAUUCCAUGUGUAGCGGUGAAAUGCGUAGAUAUAUGGAGGAACACCAGUGGCGAAGGCGGCUCUCUGGUCUAUAACUGACGCUGAGGCUCGAAAGCGUGGGGAGCAAACAGG